RNAcentral lists this ribosomal RNA (468 nucleotides) under uncultured bacterium. Its description in RNAcentral is "partial 16S ribosomal RNA". It matches the Rfam family "Bacterial small subunit ribosomal RNA", at positions 28 to 507 of the family's 1533-position model. The record is from RNAcentral.
GACGAACGCUGGCGGCGUGCUUAACACAUGCAAGUCGAACGGAAAGGCCCUGCUUUUGUGGGGUGCUCGAGUGGCGAACGGGUGAGUAACACGUGAGUAACCUGCCCUUGACUUUGGGAUAACUUCAGGAAACUGGGGCUAAUACCGGAUAGGAGCUCCUGCUGCAUGGUGGUGGUUGGAAAGUUUCGGCGGUUGGGGAUGGACUCGCGGCUUAUCAGCUUGUUGGUGGGGUAGUGGCUUACCAAGGCUUUGACGGGUAGCCGGCCUGAGAGGGUGACCGGCCACAGUGGGACUGAGAUACGGCCCAGACUCCUACGGGAGGCAGCAGUGGGGAAUAUUGCACAAUGGGCGGAAGCCUGAUGCAGCAACGCCGCGUGCGGGAGGACGGCCGUCGGGUUGUAAACCGCUUGCGCCUGUGACGAAGCGUGAGUGACGGUAAUGGGUAAAGAAGCACCGGCUAACUACGUG